Long non-coding RNA from Mya arenaria, 656 nucleotides. RefSeq lists it as uncharacterized. The transcript has 6 exons. NCBI's taxonomy places the organism in Eukaryota, Metazoa, Mollusca, Bivalvia, Myida, Myidae. The record is from RefSeq and is a predicted model, not a curated record.
UCGGUGGGAGGCGCUGUAUUUAAUUGUUGGAGUCAAUGAUCUUGAGGUCCAACCGUGACAACAUCUACAUACCUGCAGCAGCCGUCCUACUGACUUGUACAUUAAUAGCCGACAAAUUGAACUGUGUCAUCUUGGAAGAGUGUGUCAACAGAAUUCUAUCCAACCGCCAGUCGGUGACAUUGCCAGAAUUAAAACUGCAUUGGGCCACUCGCAGGAACCUCCUUAUUUAUGGACCAUCGGUGGGAGGCGCUGUAUUUAAUUGUUGGAGUCAAUGAUCUUGAGGUCCAACCGUGACAACAUCUACAUACCUGCAGCAGCCGUCCUACUGACUUGUACAUUAAUAGCCGACAAAUUGAACUGUGUCAUCUUGGAAGAGUGUGUCAACAGAAUUCUAUCCAACCGCCAGUCGGUGACAUUGCCAGAAUUAAAACUGCAUUGGGCCACUCGCAGGAACCUCCUUAUUUAUGGACCAUCGGUGGGAGGCGCUGUAUUUAAUUGUUGGAGUCAAUGAUCUUGAGGUCCAACCGUGACAACAUCUACAUACCUGCAGCAGCCGUCCUACUGACUUGUACAUUAAUAGCCGACAAAUUGAACUGUGUCAUCUUGGAAGAGUGUGUCAACAGAAUUCUAUCCAACCGCCAGUCGGUGACAUUGCC